RNAcentral lists this ribosomal RNA (138 nucleotides) under uncultured bacterium. Its description in RNAcentral is "partial 16S ribosomal RNA". It matches the Rfam family "Bacterial small subunit ribosomal RNA", at positions 355 to 509 of the family's 1533-position model. The record is from RNAcentral.
UGAGGGAUAUUGGUCAAUGGGGGAAACCCGUGAACCAGCAACGCCGCGUGAGGGAAGACGGUUUUCGGAUUGUAAACCUCUGUCCUCUGUGAAGAUAAUGACGGUAGCAGAGGAGGAAGCUCCGGCUAACUACGUGCC